This 1372-nucleotide long non-coding RNA is filed under the name Monodelphis domestica (gray short-tailed opossum). RNAcentral's name for it is "lncRNA (ENSMODG00000040325.1)". The record is from RNAcentral. Lineage: Eukaryota; Metazoa; Chordata; Mammalia; Didelphimorphia; Didelphidae.
GAUAUAGGCUGUGUGACCUCUGACAAGUCACUUAACCUCUCAAUCCCACAAGCAACUCUAUGUUAUAUAAGGGCUGAUCUGCAUUAGUAGAGGGGUUUCCUAAUGGGAAUUUUCCUCUGACAUUUAAAUUAAAGGUCUAAUAAAUAAUAAUCAUACAUAGAAUCCCAAUGUCCUUUUGAUGCUGAAUGGAUUAAAAAAAACUACUAAGUAAUUGCUACAUGUCAGACACUGUGCUAAGUUUAAAAUUGUUGUUGUUGGAGAGUUCAAAUGUAAAGACACUGCAGAAAUAAUGCAAAAUACAAAAUGUGACAUACAAAAAAGAUAGCUGGUUUAAUUCAAAGGUGGGAGAGAUCAUUUCUGAAUAUGCUAGUUAGCAAAAUUUCUAUUAAAGUGGUGAAAUCUAGUCAGUCAUUUUUGGCACAGGGAAAUGCAAGGGAAAAAGAGACAAAAAGUAUAGGAUAUGUACAGAACAAAUGGAGAUAGUUCUUAAAUAAAUAACCCCCAAGACAGUUAUACUUUUCUUUCUCCCCAGCUUUAGAGAGUCUGUGGCUGCAAACUAGAUGGACAACAUAUUAAAAGAUCUAGCAUGGUCUGAGAAUGGCUGAAAAGUCAAAAGUGUGAGUGACUGAGGCAGAAAAAAAGAGAGGAGCAAGACAAGAUAAUAUAAUAUUGGUCAAGAGCCCUGUAAAGCACUUUAUUUCCAGUCAGACAAGAUGACUAUGCCUCAAUAUAAUCUAUAGAAGGAUUAUACUUGUGCUUUGGAGGUGAUUUUUUAAAACAAGUGACUUUAUAUCUCUUCAACUGCAACUUAUUAGAUUCAACCAAUCAUUCUAGUCAGUUGAAAUCUCUUUAAAUUUUGACUCUAUCACCCAACAGGAUUUGGAGCCCAUUUGGAUUUGGCAUCUGUUUCUGCUUCUAGUAUGUCUGGCUCAGGAGGCUCAAAGCUGCAAAUUCUACUGGGAAAAUAUUGAAAAUUAAUUUAUUGCUCAAUGCAGAACAAAGAUAAUCAAGGACUUGCAUUUUCAGCAUCCGGACUGACAUGGUUCAUAAAGACUACAGUCACCCUGAAGACUAUAGCUACCUUGUUCUCUUUAAAAGAAAACCAAGUCAUGAAUACUGAGGAUGAUGCACCUUGAAGUUUUAAGGAGCAUCAAAAGGAGAGAAUGAUGAGGAAAUUCAGCUUAAAGCUCCCUCUCUGCUCCAGAUAGCCAGGUGCAAGGUCGGUCUCCUCUCCUCAACCUAAAGGACAGACAGUCAAGCCCCACCACUCCUUACAGAUCUCAGAUUCCAGACAGCCUAGCAAGGCCAAAUAUUGAGUAUAAAGUGACUGUUCCCCCAAUGCUGGACAUGAGCAGGACAAUCCAACCGUGGG